GGCUCAGAACGAACGCUGGCGGCAUGCCUAACACAUGCAAGUCGAACGAAGCCUUCGGGCUUAGUGGCGCACGGGUGCGUAACGCGUGGGAACCUGCCUUUAGGUUCGGAAUAACUCAGAGAAAUUUGAGCUAAUACCGGAUAAUGUCUUCGGACCAAAGAUUUAUCGCCUUUAGAUGGGCCCGCGUUAGAUUAGAUAGUUGGUGGGGUAAUGGCCUACCAAGUCGACGAUCUAUAGCUGGUCUGAGAGGAUGAUCAGCCACACUGGGACUGAGACACGGCCCAGACUCCUACGGGAGGCAGCAGUGGGGAAUAUUGGACAAUGGGCGAAAGCCUGAUCCAGCAAUGCCGCGUGAGUGAUGAAGGCCUUAGGGUUGUAAAGCUCUUUUACCAGGGAUGAUAAUGACAGUACCUGGAGAAUAAGCUCCGGCUAACUCCGUGCCAGCAGCCGCGGUAAUACGGAGGGAGCUAGCGUUGUUCGGAAUUACUGGGCGUAAAGCGCGCGUAGGCGGCUUUUUAAGUCAGGGGUGAAAUCCCGGGGCUCAACCCCGGAACUGCCCUUGAAACUGGAUGGCUAGAAUACUGGAGAGGUGAGUGGAAUUCCGAGUGUAGAGGUGAAAUUCGUAGAUAUUCGGAAGAACACCAGUGGCGAAGGCGACUCACUGGACAGUUAUGACG
Molecule: ribosomal RNA, 677 nt
Filed under: Erythrobacter sp. Pbc-abP3b
Lineage: Bacteria; Pseudomonadati; Pseudomonadota; Alphaproteobacteria; Sphingomonadales; Erythrobacteraceae
Description: bacterial SSU rRNA
Rfam family: Bacterial small subunit ribosomal RNA
Source: RNAcentral